This 403-nucleotide ribosomal RNA is filed under the name Xylographa stenospora. Its description in RNAcentral is "SSU rRNA". It matches the Rfam family "Bacterial small subunit ribosomal RNA", at positions 349 to 760 of the family's 1533-position model. Lineage: Eukaryota; Fungi; Ascomycota; Lecanoromycetes; Baeomycetales; Xylographaceae. The record is from RNAcentral.
GAGCAGUGAGGAAUAUUGGUCAAUAGCCUAACGGCUGAACCAGCAACUUGGAGGAACAUACGGCAAUAGCUGAUUGCAUUAACAAUUUGUUUUUACAAUAUCGACUAUGUCGAAUAAAGUUCUAGGUAGAGUUAUGAUAAUGACAUUUUCUAUCUAUGUGUCUUGACCAAGUCACGUGCCAGCAGUCGCGGUAAUACGUGGAAGACUAGUGUUAUUCAUCUUUAAUGGGUUUAAAGGGUACCUAGACGGUCUAUUAAGCCUUAAAGGGUACUUACAGACUAGAGUUUGAUGAGAGGGGGGAAGUACGAGAGAGUGUAGAGAUGAAAUUCUGUCAUACCUUACUUGGAACAGGCAACGGCGAAAGCAACUCCUUAUGUAAAAACUGACGUUGAAGGACGAAGGA